The sequence is a small nucleolar RNA, 80 nucleotides long. It matches the Rfam family "Trypanosomatid snoRNA TB11Cs5H2".
AAGCAGCAUCAGUACAGCGACAGCUUCUGUAAUACAGAAUUAUUACCUCUAUGGGGCUGCCUGCUGGCGAUGUAGCGAGA